GACGAACGCUGGCGGCGUGCUUAACACAUGCAAGUGGAGCGACGAACCGGGGCUUGCCCCGGGGCAGAGCCGCGAACGGGUGAGUAACACGUGGGUAACCCACCCCGAUGACCGGGACAACCCGAGGAAACUCGGGCUAAUACCGGAUGUGCUCCUUGACCUCGAGGUCAAGCGUAAAGAUAGCUUCGGCCUUCGCAUCGGGACGGGCCCG
RNAcentral lists this ribosomal RNA (211 nucleotides) under uncultured bacterium. RNAcentral's name for it is "partial 16S ribosomal RNA". It matches the Rfam family "Bacterial small subunit ribosomal RNA", at positions 28 to 233 of the family's 1533-position model. The record is from RNAcentral.